UACGGAGGAUCCAAGCGUUAUCCGGAAUCAUUGGGUUUAAAGGGUCCGUAGGCGGUUUUAUAAGUCAGUGGUGAAAUCCGGUAGCUCAACUAAUCGAACUGCCAUUGAUACUGUAGAACUUGAAUUAUUGUGAAGUAACUAGAAUAUGUAGUGUAGCGGUGAAAUGCUUAGAUAUUACAUGGAAUACCAAUUGCGAAGGCAGGUUACUAACAAUACAUUGACGCUGAUGGACGAAAGCGUGGGGAGCGAACAGG
Molecule: ribosomal RNA, 254 nt
Filed under: uncultured bacterium
Lineage: Bacteria
Description: partial 16S ribosomal RNA
Rfam family: Bacterial small subunit ribosomal RNA
Source: RNAcentral